UGGUUCUGGCAUCGAUGAAGAACGCAGCGAAAUGCGAUAAGUAAUGUGAAUUGCAGAAUUCAGUGAAUCAUCGAAUCUUUGAACGCACAUUGCGCCCAUUAGUAUUCUAGUGGGCAUGCCUGUUCGAGCGUCAUUUCAACCCUUAAGCCUAGCUUAGUGUUGGGAGUCUACUGUCUGGGCGGACCUACCCUGUAGCGAGUUACCCUGUAACGAACCUACCCGGUAGCGACCUACCCUGUAGCUCCUCAAAGUCAACGGCGGAACUGUGGUGUCCUCUGAGCGUAGUAAAAUUAUUCUCGCUUUUGUUAGGUGCUGCAGGUCUUGCCCAAAAACCCCCAAAUUUUAAUGGUUGACCUCGGAUCAGGUAGGAAUACCCGCUGA
This 381-nucleotide unclassified non-coding RNA is filed under the name uncultured fungus. Its description in RNAcentral is "partial contains 5.8S ribosomal RNA and internal transcribed spacer 2". The stretch from base 1 to 133 matches the Rfam family "5.8S ribosomal RNA", at positions 22 to 154 of the family's 154-position model. The record is from RNAcentral. Lineage: Eukaryota; Fungi.